RNAcentral lists this ribosomal RNA (257 nucleotides) under Escherichia coli. Its description in RNAcentral is "partial 23S ribosomal RNA". It matches the Rfam family "Bacterial large subunit ribosomal RNA", at positions 2692 to 2925 of the family's 2925-position model. The record is from RNAcentral. Lineage: Bacteria; Pseudomonadati; Pseudomonadota; Gammaproteobacteria; Enterobacterales; Enterobacteriaceae.
CCGGAGUGGACGCAUCACUGGUGUUCGGGUUGUCAUGCCAAUGGCACUGCCCGGUAGCUAAAUGCGGAAGAGAUAAGUGCUGAAAGCAUCUAAGCACGAAACUUGCCCCGAGAUGAGUUCUCCCUGACUCCUUGAGAGUCCUGAAGGAACGUUGAAGACGACGACGUUGAUAGGCCGGAUGUGUAAGCGCAGCGAUGCGUUGAGCUAACCGGUACUAAUGAACCGUGAGGCUUAACCUUACAACGCCGAAGGUGUUU